RNAcentral lists this ribosomal RNA (492 nucleotides) under uncultured bacterium. Its description in RNAcentral is "partial 16S ribosomal RNA". It matches the Rfam family "Bacterial small subunit ribosomal RNA", at positions 29 to 507 of the family's 1533-position model. The record is from RNAcentral.
AGUGAACGCUGGCGGUAGGCCUAACACAUGCGAGUCGAACGGCAGCACAGUAAUAGCUUGCUCUUACGGGUGGCGAGUGGCGGACGGGGGAGGAAUACAUCGGAAUCUACUUUUUCGUGGGGGAUAACGUAGGGAAACUUACGCUAAUACCGCAUACGACCUACGGGUGAAAGCAGGGGAUCUUCGGACCUUGCGCGAUUGAAUGAGCCGAUGUCGGAUUAGCUAGUUGGCGGGGUAAAGGCCCACCAAGGCGACGAUCCGUAGCUGGUCUGAGAGGAUGAUCAGCCACACUGGAACUGAGACACGGUCCAGACUCCUACGGGAGGCAGCAGUGGGGAAUAUUGGACAAUGGGCGCAAGCCUGAUCCAGCCAUACCGCGUGGGUGAAGAAGGCCUUCGGGUUGUAAAGCCCUUUUGUUGGGAAAGAAAAGCAGCAGGUUAAUACCCCGCUGUUCUGACGGUACCCAAAGAAUAAGCACCGGCUAACUUCGUG